Long non-coding RNA from Oncorhynchus tshawytscha (Chinook salmon), 1461 nucleotides. NCBI's taxonomy places the organism in Eukaryota, Metazoa, Chordata, Actinopteri, Salmoniformes, Salmonidae. The record is from Ensembl.
GUCAGUAUAAAGGCAUGUGCAUAUUAUGUGGGUGUGAGCGAAUUAAUUAAUGUUUGUAUCUAUGUAGUAGGAUAGAUGGAGUGUUGCCAUCAGAGUCCAUCCAACUCUACUUUGACGCUUAAAAGUGGUGGCUCGUAUAUAGGCUACACAAAAACAUGUUUUUAUUUUUUACCCCUUUUCUCCCCAAUUUCAUGGUUCCCAAUUGGUAGUUACAGUCUUGUCCCCUCACUGCAACUCCCCAACGGACUCGGAAGAUGCGAAGGUCGAGAGCCGUGCGUCCUUCAAAACACGACCUUGCCAAGCCACACUGCUUCUUGACACACGGCUCGCUUUGUUACGCUCGUCGAAAUGAUCGGACCAAGGUGCAGCGUGCUCGGAGCUCGAGUUACAAGCCGGAGAGACGGUCCAGGGAGAUUUGGGGUCCUGCCGAUAACGAUCGGGGAAUGCAUCAGCAUUCCAGGAUGCAUUUCAAACCAUUCCUAUUGGCUGGAUAAAGCCUCUCUUUUUUUAAAAGGAAUUAUAGAAAAAUCCCUGUCUUAAUUUCUUCAUGAUUUCAAUCAGGGCCUCUGCGACAGAGAGGAAAGGAGAGAAGGAAAAAAAACACAAAACACAAAGACAUAAAAAGUUGCGCAUCAUUCCGCUUCCACAUUGGCUUGAGGGGAAAAACACCUCGGAGCAUGCAAGCAGAACGGAUGGGUUUAUUGGUUUUAACCAGGAGUCAAUCACACCGAGUAACGUGAGCCCAGACAAGGCGCGGAGGCUAGAUUGCGAGGACACUAAACGCUGGAAAAUGAGGGAGGGGAAACACCAUCUCCCUACUUACAAACGUCUGAUAAUCCAGCACAUGUGCUGCCUUCUAAAGGGAUACUUAGGCUUUUAAGCUUCUUUGUCAUUCCCAUCCGAGCUUACAGAGUUGGGCCAGGAACAUCAAGUCAUGUUCAAUUUAGUCUGCUGAUCCUGAACAAACCAUUGUGGGGAUGGGAGAACGGCAGUGCUGGGGACUAGUUGUCAGAUUAGACAAGUGGAACAAGACACACACUCAAAAAGAAUGAUGCAGCUUAACUAUUCAUUUGCAGUUUUAAUUCUGGGCAUAAAGAUUGGACUCUGUUCUGUAUGUGACCAAUGUUCUAGAAAGGAAAACUCACAAAGACCUUUAUUUCCUUUGUUUUGUAUUUAUUUAGUAUGGUCAGGGCGUGAGUUGGGUGGGCAGUCUAUGUUUGUUUUUCUAUGAUUUGGGGAUUUGUAUGUUUCGGCCUAGUAUGGUUCUCAAUCAGAGGCAGGUGUCAUUAGUUGUCUCUGAUUGAGAAUCAUACUUAGGUAGCCUGGGUUGCACUGUUUGUUUGUGGGUGAUUGUCUAUGUUAGUUGCUUGUGUCAGCACAGGUCUCAUUUAUAGCUUCACGGUCGUUAUUAGUUUAUUGUUUUUGUAUUCAGUACUUUCUUUAAUUAAAUAUCAAGAUGAA